AGUGAACGCUGGCGGUAGGCCUAACACAUGCAAGUCGAACGGCAGCACAGUAAGAGCUUGCUCUUACGGGUGGCGAGUGGCGGACGGGUGAGGAAUACAUCGGAAUCUACUUUUUCGUGGGGGAUAACGUAGGGAAACUUACGCUAAUACCGCAUACGACCUACGGGUGAAAGCAGGGGAUCUUCGGACCUUGCGCGAUUGAAUGAGCCGAUGUCGGAUUAGCUAGUUGGCGGGGUAAAGGCCCACCAAGGCGACGAUCCGUAGCUGGUCUGAGAGGAUGAUCAGCCACACUGGAACUGAGACACGGUCCAGACUCCUACGGGAGGCAGCAGUGGGGAAUAUUGGACAAUGGGCGCAAGCCUGAUCCAGCCAUACCGCGUGGGUGAAGAAGGCCUUCGGGUUGUAAAGCCCUUUUGUUGGGAAAGAAAAGCAGCAGGUUAAUACCCCGCCGUUCUGACGGUACCCAAAGAACAAGCACCGGCUAACUUCGU
RNAcentral lists this ribosomal RNA (491 nucleotides) under uncultured bacterium. Its description in RNAcentral is "partial 16S ribosomal RNA". It matches the Rfam family "Bacterial small subunit ribosomal RNA", at positions 29 to 506 of the family's 1533-position model. The record is from RNAcentral.